Molecule: ribosomal RNA, 206 nt
Filed under: Staphylococcus aureus
Lineage: Bacteria; Bacillati; Bacillota; Bacilli; Caryophanales; Staphylococcaceae
Description: partial 16S ribosomal RNA
Rfam family: Bacterial small subunit ribosomal RNA
Source: RNAcentral
GAAUCGCUAGUAAUCGUAGAUCAGCAUGCUACGGUGAAUACGUUCCCGGGUCUUGUACACACCGCCCGUCACACCACGAGAGUUUGUAACACCCGAAGCCGGUGGAGUAACCUUUUAGGAGCUAGCCGUCGAAGGUGGGACAAAUGAUUGGGGUGAAGUCGUAACAAGGUAGCCGUAUCGGAAGGUGCGGCUGGAUCACCUCCUUU